RNAcentral lists this ribosomal RNA (274 nucleotides) under uncultured bacterium. RNAcentral's name for it is "partial 16S ribosomal RNA". It matches the Rfam family "Archaeal small subunit ribosomal RNA", at positions 473 to 747 of the family's 1478-position model. The record is from RNAcentral.
AAACCAGCACCUCAAGUGGUCAGGAGGAUUAUUGGGCCUAAAGCAUCCGUAGCCUGUUCUGUAAGUUUUCGGUUAAAUCCAUUAGCUCAACUAAUGGGCCGCCGAAAAUACUGCAUAACUAGGGAGUGGGAGAGGUAGACGGUACUCGGUAGGAAGGGGUAAAAUCCUUUGAUCUAUUGAUGACCACCUGUGGCGAAGGCGGUCUACCAGAACACGUUCGACGGUGAGGGAUGAAAGCUAGGGGAGCAAACCGGAUUAGAAACCCCAGUAGUCC